This 1017-nucleotide ribosomal RNA is filed under the name Oligella ureolytica. RNAcentral's name for it is "bacterial SSU rRNA". It matches the Rfam family "Bacterial small subunit ribosomal RNA", at positions 56 to 1061 of the family's 1533-position model. Lineage: Bacteria; Pseudomonadati; Pseudomonadota; Betaproteobacteria; Burkholderiales; Alcaligenaceae. The record is from RNAcentral.
UGCAAGUCGAACGGCAGCACAGAGGAACUUGUUCCUUGGGUGGCGAGUGGCGGACGGGUGAGUAAUGUAUCGGAACGUGCCCAGUAGUGGGGGAUAACUACGCGAAAGCGUGGCUAAUACCGCAUAUUCUCUACGGAGGAAAGGGGGGGAUCAUUUGACCUCUCGCUAUUGGAGCGGCCGAUAUUAGAUUAGCUAGUUGGUGGGGUAACGGCCUACCAAGGCAGUGAUCUAUAGCUGGUUUGAGAGGACGACCAGCCACACUGGGACUGAGACACGGCCCAGACUCCUACGGGAGGCAGCAGUGGGGAAUUUUCGACAAUGGGGGGAACCCUGAUCGAGCCAUCCCGCGUGUGGGACGAAGGCCUUCGGGUUGUAAACCACUUUUCUCAACGAAGAAAAGUCUUAGGCUAAUACCUUAAGAUGCUGACGGUAGUUGAGGAAUAAGCACCGGCUAACUAUGUGCCAGCAGCCGCGGUAAUACAUAGGGUGCAAGCGUUAAUCGGAAUUACUGGGCGUAAAGGGUGCGCAGGCGGCUUGGAAAGAACGGUGUGAAAUCCCGGGGCUCAACCCCGGAACUGCACUAUUAACUAUCAAGCUAGAGUAUGUCAGAGGGGGGUGGAAUUCCGCGUGUAGCAGUGAAAUGCGUAGAUAUGCGGAGGAACACCAAUGGCGAAGGCAGCCCCCUGGGAUAAUACUGACGCUCAGGCACGAAAGCGUGGGUAGCAAACAGGAUUAGAUACCCUGGUAGUCCACGCCCUAAACGAUGUCAACUAGCUGUUGGGCCGGUUACGGCUUAGUAGCGCAGCUAACGCGUGAAGUUGACCGCCUGGGGACUACGGUCGCAAGACUAAAACUCAAAGGAAUUGACGGGGACCCGCACAAGCGGUGGAUGAUGUGGAUUAAUUCGAUGCAACGCGAAAAACCUUACCUACCCUUGACAUGCCUGGAAGCUUUAAGAGAUUAAAGUGUGCUCGCAAGAGAACCGGUGCACAGGUGCUGCAUGGCUGUCGUCAGCUC